GAUGAGAAUGCCGACGAGACGCAGACAUACCAUGCCGUCCUCCACAGCCAGCUGGGUGCUCACAAGAUCAUCUUUGAGGCUGAAGUGAUGGCAGUCGACAAUUCUCAGGAAUUUACCAAGUCCGGCCUGAAUCCCUACGUGGAAUUCAGAGCAUGCAUCGAUUUUCACUGCUUUAAAGAUGGAGAAAAAUACCUCAGGUACAAGUCUCUCAAAUGGUGGGCACACGCCCGGCUGGCUGGUGCAUCCAGACUAGUGUGCGGCUCGUGCAGCGAAAGUGGCACGGUGAAACAUAUCGAGGAGCUGAAGAUCUCUGGCAUUCCUUGAAUGACGAAGCAUUACUGGACGGAAGAGGAAUGCAUGCGAUUCUGCGAUAACGUUCUCUUUUAUCAAGGAACAUGUUCGGGAUGAUGAAAGGACUUACCUUUUCAACGUCGCAAUGGAGAAUGAACCAAGCCAGUCAUCAAGACGGAAAGUUCAAUGUAGGCGCCUUCAGAAUCCUUCACGUAUUCCAGUGCUGCCCGACUAAUACCUGCGAUCUAUGGUAACUGGCAAAUCCACCAGUUAAUACCCAACUUCCCGACUUCGGGCCACAUAUACGUUUCUUGAAGACACCCCACAGAAGCCACGUCCUUCAUCACAGCCAUCUGUCGAGUGCCUCUGUAUGGACUCUAUUUUCAUCUGCUGGGCGAAACGGCUGUUUACAUCUGGUGAUUUACUCAACAGAAUACGUGCAUGGUCGCUAUUUAUCAAUGGCGCGACAGAAUUCAUGACCAAUAUUUUAUCAGCACGAG
Molecule: long non-coding RNA, 791 nt
Organism: Dermacentor andersoni
Lineage: Eukaryota; Metazoa; Arthropoda; Arachnida; Ixodida; Ixodidae
Source: RefSeq, a predicted model, not a curated record